UUAAUCUAUUAAUUUUGAAUGAAAAAGAAGUUUUAUUUGUACAAAUUUUGGUGUUGAAAAUUUUAAAAAAUUAAGAAAGAGUAUGGAUAAAAUUACAGUGUAAAAGGUGAGUUUUGUUAAUACGUAGAAGUUUAUAAAAGGGUGCCAGCAUGAGCGGUUAUACUUUUUACUUUUUUUUAUUAAUUAAAAAAGUUUUAUAUGCGAGUUUACGGUAAUUAUUAGAUUAAAUAAUUAAAGGGGGGUUUAAUUUUUAAAGAGUUUAAAGUUGAUACUAUAAUACUUAAGUAGUAAUUGGGCAUUAACAUGGAUUAGAUACCCAUUUAGAGUGUAUAAAUAAAAAAUAGAUAAUCAAUAACUAUUAAGAAAAAAUGGGGGUUAUUAAAAUUUGGGCGGAUUAUGGCCCUAUAAAAAGAAAUUACUCUUUAUUCAGAUUAAAAAAAUUUAUAAAGUUUUUUUUAUUUAUUACUGUCUUAAGUUAUUUAAAAAAAUAAUUUUUAAAAUUUUAAAUUUAAAAGUCAAGUUUGUUGUAGAAUGUUUAUAAAAGAGGCUUUAAUAUAGUUAUAAUAAUAAAAAAUUAAAAUUAGUGGUAAGUUAGUUCAAAAAAUUUUUAAAAGAGUUCAAAGUAAUAGUAUUAUUUUGUUAGGUUUAUACAAAAAUAUUAAAUUAAAGUGAAUAUUUUUUAUUAAAGUACAAACCGCCCAUCAUUCCUUUAUUUUGAUAAAGGGUAAGUUGUAACAAGGUAAUAUUACUGGAAGGUUAGAUUGAA
This 766-nucleotide ribosomal RNA is filed under the name Semnoderes armiger. Its description in RNAcentral is "12S ribosomal RNA". The record is from RNAcentral. Lineage: Eukaryota; Metazoa; Kinorhyncha; Cyclorhagida; Kentrorhagata; Semnoderidae.